AUUGAACGCUGGCGGCAUGCUUUACACAUGCAAGUCGAACGGCAGCGCGGGGGCAACCCUGGCGGCGAGUGGCGAACGGGUGAGUAAUGCAUCGGAACGUAUCCUGUAAUGGGGGAUAACGUAGCGAAAGUUACGCUAAUACCGCAUACGCUCGAGAGAGGAAAGUGGGGGGAUCGCAAGACCUCACGUUAUAGGAGCGGCCGAUGUCCGAUUAGCUAGUUGGUGGGGUAAAGGCCUACCAAGGCGACGAUCGGUAGCUGGUCUGAGAGGAUGAUCAGCCACACUGGGACUGAGACACGGCCCAGACUCCUACGGGAGGCAGCAGUGGGGAAUUUUGGACAAUGGGCGAAAGCCUGAACCAGCCAUGUCGCGUGAAGGAUGAAGGUCCUAUGGAUUGUAAACUUCUUUUGCAGGAGGGUAAAGUGAGCUACGUGUAGUUCAUUGCAAGUACCCUGCGAAUAAGCAUCGGCUAACUCCGUG
This 480-nucleotide ribosomal RNA is filed under the name uncultured bacterium. Its description in RNAcentral is "bacterial SSU rRNA". It matches the Rfam family "Bacterial small subunit ribosomal RNA", at positions 30 to 507 of the family's 1533-position model. The record is from RNAcentral.